ACAUGCAGACUUCAUCCAUCUACUGGGUUAUCCCUGAGAUAGCCCUAAAGCUGGACCACGCUGAACCCAGGAUGCAGGAGCUUCAUCCAGGUCUCACAGGUUACUUCAGUGAUCCCCAAACGGGUAGAGCCUUUUCUGCUCUAGGGAGCGUGCAGUUCUGACACUACGACCUCACAGCAAUUGGACGAAGUUACCUUUGGAACACAUCAAAUGAUGAUUUGCUUCCUGUGGACAGCUGGGCAUUCAUCCUGGCUUCGCCUAUCUUCCUCCUGCUGACAUGCCACUGUUGUUUCUGGAAGAAAUGAUCAACAGAGUCAGCACGGUCAUUCGUCCAUGUUCUGAACCACACUGCUGUAGCCGUGCAUCCCUCCAUCACUGUCCCCCUGUCUGGAGGACUGUGACUACACAGGCUGUAUCCGGACCUGACACGGCACAGCUUUAGCCA
This is a long non-coding RNA of Lepus europaeus (European hare), 445 nucleotides long. RefSeq lists it as uncharacterized. Lineage: Eukaryota; Metazoa; Chordata; Mammalia; Lagomorpha; Leporidae. The record is from RefSeq and is a predicted model, not a curated record. The transcript has 3 exons.